This 119-nucleotide ribosomal RNA is filed under the name Pteropus alecto (black flying fox). Lineage: Eukaryota; Metazoa; Chordata; Mammalia; Chiroptera; Pteropodidae. The record is from RNAcentral.
GUUUAUGGCCAUACUACCCUAAACAAUCCUGAUUCCAUCUGAUCUCGGAAGCUAAGCAGAGUCAGCCUGGCUAGUACGUGAAUGGGAGACCACCUAGGAAGACCAGUGUGCUGUAGGCG